UCUCUUGCAAAAACAUGCUUUGCUUCUUAUCUUCACAACUGCCUAGGGUUUUACUCUGGCUAUGGCGAUAAACGGUAGAUGGAAUAAGUGUUGUGGACCCGGGGCAGUACCCGGCGUCUCCACCAAAUUUCUUCCACUUUUGGGGACGAAACAGGCUCGACACGCAUGGUAAAGAUCUAUCUUUUGCCCGGCAUUGUACCGCCGUUAUCGGGCUAAACUUACAAGUGCCAACGAUAAUACUGAGGUGCUCGCUGUCGCAGCAUAAGCGAUAAGCGCGGUUCGGGGGAACCGGGCAACAGAAUCCCCCCACU
RNAcentral lists this transfer-messenger RNA (311 nucleotides) under Aristophania vespae. RNAcentral's name for it is "Alphaproteobacteria transfer-messenger RNA". It matches the Rfam family "Alphaproteobacteria transfer-messenger RNA". Rfam says of the family: Bacterial tmRNA, also known as 10Sa RNA or SsrA, is named for its dual tRNA and mRNA-like properties. Its role is to liberate the mRNA from a stalled ribosome. To accomplish this part of the tmRNA is used as a reading frame that ends in a translation stop signal. The record is from Rfam by way of RNAcentral. Lineage: Bacteria; Pseudomonadati; Pseudomonadota; Alphaproteobacteria; Acetobacterales; Acetobacteraceae.